GUGAAUCAUCGAAUCUUUGAACGCAAAUUGCACUCUCCUCGGAGAGGAUGCCUGUUUGAGGGUCAGCCUAUAAAAUUCGAAAAAGUUGCUGUUUCGCGGUGGCGUUCGUCGGUAAUUGGGUCAUGUUAAAUCUUUUUGAUUUAUGCGACUUACAAAUUUCUUUUUGUUUCCAUGAUCGUUUCUAAGAUUUAUUUCUUUUUACGUUUAAGGUAUAGAU
This 217-nucleotide unclassified non-coding RNA is filed under the name Glomeraceae sp. Its description in RNAcentral is "partial contains 5.8S ribosomal RNA and internal transcribed spacer 2". The stretch from base 1 to 65 matches the Rfam family "5.8S ribosomal RNA", at positions 84 to 154 of the family's 154-position model. Lineage: Eukaryota; Fungi; Glomeromycota; Glomeromycetes; Glomerales; Glomeraceae. The record is from RNAcentral.